ACGCUGGCGGCAGGCUUAACACAUGCAAGUCGAACGGUAACAGGAGAAAGCUUGCUUUCUUGCUGACGAGUGGCGGACGGGUGAGUAAUGCUUGGGAAUCUGGCUUAUGGAGGGGGAUAACGACGGGAAACUGUCGCUAAUACCGCGUAGAGUCGAGAGACGAAAGUGCGGGACCGCAAGGCCGCAUGCCAUAGGAUGAGCCUAAGUGGGAUUAGGUAGUUGGUGGGGUAAUAGCCUACCAAGCCGACGAUCUCUAGCUGGUCUGAGAGGAUGACCAGCCACACCGGGACUGAGACACGGCCCGGACUCCUACGGGAGGCAGCAGUGGGGAAUAUUGCGCAAUGGGGGCAACCCUGACGCAGCCAUGCCGCGUGAAUGAAGAAGGCCUUCGGGUUGUAAAGUUCUUUCGGUAUUGAGGAAGGUUGUUGUGUUAAUAGCACGACAAAUUGACGUUAAAUACAGAAGAAGCACCGGCUAACUCCGUGCCAGCAGCCGCGGUAAUACGGAGGGUGCGAGCGUUAAUCGGAAUAACUGGGCGUAAAGGGCACGCAGGCGGACUUUUAAGUGAGGUGUGAAAUCCCCGGGCUUAACCUGGGAAUUGCAUUUCAGACUGGGAGUCUAGAGUACUUUAGGGAGGGGUAGAAUUCCACGUGUAGCGGUGAAAUGCGUAGAGAUGUGGAGGAAUACCGAAGGCGAAGGCAGCCCCUUGGGAAUGUACUGACGCUCAUGUGCGAAAGCGUGGGGAGCAAACAGGAUUAGAUACCCUGGUAGUCCACGCUGUAAACGCUGUCGAUUUGGGGAUUGGGCUUUAAGCUUGGUGCCCGAAGCUAACGUGAUAAAUCGACCGCCUGGGGAGUACGGCCGCAAGGUUAAAACUCAAAUGAAUUGACGGGGGCCCGCACAAGCGGUGGAGCAU
RNAcentral lists this ribosomal RNA (916 nucleotides) under uncultured bacterium. RNAcentral describes it as "bacterial SSU rRNA". It matches the Rfam family "Bacterial small subunit ribosomal RNA", at positions 33 to 940 of the family's 1533-position model. The record is from RNAcentral.